This is a long non-coding RNA of Oryza sativa Japonica Group (Japanese rice), 1632 nucleotides long. RefSeq lists it as uncharacterized. Lineage: Eukaryota; Viridiplantae; Streptophyta; Magnoliopsida; Poales; Poaceae. The record is from RefSeq and is a predicted model, not a curated record.
CGUUGACAAGUUAAAGAGAACUUAGAUGGACUUAUUCCACACCAAAAUACCACAUCACUCCCCAGUCCUCGUUGCCCUCUUGCCGAGCCGUCCUCCGCCAUGCUCCGUACUCCAUCUCCGAUCGGCGACCCGCCCUGAGCCGGCGGAGCCGCUCGACGUUAGGGCCCCACCUCACCAGGCGACGGCGUGGGCAUCCUCGAUUCUCAGGGGUGUGGCGGCGUCGGCGGCGGCGCAACGGUGGGCGCCGUCCAUCCCUCCCAGCCGGCUCGGCCUGGUGACCGGAUUCAGAGAUGACGGCGAGAUGCAAAUUUGUCAGGCAAUGUGAUUAAGUAGAUAUGCAUCCUGGUUGGUCACAAGGUGUUAUGCUCACGCCUCGAUAUGGUUCUUGCGUAGCCACAGAAAGGAGCAGCUACUAUGUGCUUACUCCAGCCACUGGAGUUGUAUACAACUUGCCUGUGAAUCCAGCAGAGGAGCAUGUGUACCAUGUCCAGUUGAUCACCUGCACAGACCUUACCCUCAUUUGCAUUUGGGCAUGUUGCUUCCAUGGGAGAGUACAAGGUGAUCCAUAUUUACAGACCUAGAGCUACAUCAGCUCUGUGAGUUCAUUACUGUCAAGUGUGGCACUCACCAUGCAGACCUAUGUUGAAACACAGGCAAACAUCAAUGUUAUCUCUUAUUGGGUGGUGUACUUGAUGGAUAUUGGAUUGUGUAUAUGAGCUAUGAUAAUAUGUGGUGUAGGUACCUUCAUCCAUCAGUAUUUCAUCUGUUGUUUCAAUCUUGGGAUGGAGCAAGAAACGGGAUGUCCAGGGACCAAUUAGCAGCAUUUUAUUUUAUUUUAUCUUUUUGAGAAAGCGAUUUUCCUGAGGAGUAUAUGUCAAUUGGCAUCAACAGUUUCACUGAACUGAAAGGCUACUUAGUUUUAGUAUACCACCAGCAUUACUGUUGAACCAUGGAUUAAAGAGUAUACAUUCAGUCUGGAUCAUUCAUCCCUGUUAUUGAGUAGGAUAUAAAGCCAAUAAGCCAUUGUUGGCGUUAGAUGAUGGGAGGAUAUUCUUCUGUCUAGGAUGGACUGGAUUGCUAAGCAUACCUGAUGAGACAUUUUGCACUUUUCCAAGAACCAGCACUUUGCAGAAGUGGAGAUGAGACAUCUUGCUGGAAAUAGCACACAGCAAAACAGAUGACUUUACAAAAUGGUGAUGUAGUGCAGUAUUGCAAUGUAUUGCUACUCCCUUCAGUUUGCAGUUGAUGAAAUUUGCAAGAACCAUCCAUUGCUUUUGGAAUUGAUCGUUGGGCAGAAUCAUAAAUUUUGGCUGUGAUUCUUUUCUACUGUUGAAUUGAAGCCUGCAAAGAUGUCUUCGAUUCUUGAAGAUGAUAGUUUUUUUUCUCUUUCAUUUUGUACUAUCUUCUGAGAUUGUAAUAUAAGGUGUACUUGUCAGCAUAUAUCAUAGUAUCUGACAUAAUUUAGGGCUGCUGCAACUUUGUUUUGCAGUAAAAAGGUGACAGAUUGCCAGUGCCACUUGUGUUGUAGGUGAAAUUCGCUGUGCAUGUAAAAGGAUGCGGUUUGAAUGCUUAUCAUAUAAUCUCUGUUACUGUUAUCUAGAUAUAAUGCACAAGCUCUUUGAGCUCAUAUAU